AAAAGAAGAAGACUGGAAUUGUUGUGCUUUUGGAGUAUCUUCGCGCGCGAGUCUCUCACUUUCCGUGUUCUUCCUCUGUCAACCCCGUACUCAACAAUGAGCUCCUCAAGUGCAAGUGCUGACUGCCUUGGAUGGGCAGCAAGAGAUGAGUCUGGAGUUCUAUCACCAUACAACUUCAGCCGCAGGAUUCUUGGAGUUGAUGAUGUUUCAAUAAGAAUUACACACUGUGGAGUUUGUUAUGCUGAUGUAAUUUCGACAAGGAAUCGACAUGGGAAUUCGAAGUAUCCUUUGGUACCUGGGUAAGUUAUACUAGACUAAUUGUAUACCAAGGAUAUGUUGUACGUCUUAGGUUUCCUUGAUCUAAUGUAUCUGUAAUUGCACACCAAACAUGAGAUUGCUGGAAUUGUGAAAGAGGUAGGUUCCAAUGUUCCCCGCUUCAAGGUUGGUAACCAUAUUGGAGUGGGAACCUAUGUCAACUCAUGCAGGAAUUGUGAGUAUUGCAACGAUGAUGAAGAAGUUUAUUGUGUAAAAGGACUAGUUUUCACUUUUAAUAAAGUGGGUGUGGAUGGUACUAUUACAAAAGGAGGAUAUUCAAGUUAUAUUGUUGUGCAUGA
Molecule: long non-coding RNA, 614 nt
Organism: Carya illinoinensis
Lineage: Eukaryota; Viridiplantae; Streptophyta; Magnoliopsida; Fagales; Juglandaceae
Exons: 3
Source: RefSeq, a predicted model, not a curated record